GUCUACCAGUUGCCACUUCUGGUCCAUUUGCAUAUAACACUGGAGAAGUGUUCCUUUAUCUUUGUGAAGCCCUUAACAUUCAAGGAGCCACUACUGCUUCUAUGCUGCUGAAAAAUACAAGACACUGCCUCUACCUCUGCAUCUGUCCUUUGCUUUUUGCUUGGAAACUAUCACAUCAAAUCACACUGAGAUCAGGAGAUGAGAUGAAGGAUCAGCUGAGGAACAGUCAUCCCAACAGUAGUGCCUGUUCCUACUGAGCUCUCACUGGCAAACUAUCAGUAGAAGAAGCCUGGACAAAACUGAGUUCAAUGCUUCACAAUUGCUGCGCUCUUCUUCUCCCCAGUGGAAAAAAAAAUGCUCUCUGCACCACAUGGCCGCUGGCCGCUGCCAGAGGAUGGAGG
Molecule: long non-coding RNA, 401 nt
Filed under: Homo sapiens (human)
Lineage: Eukaryota; Metazoa; Chordata; Mammalia; Primates; Hominidae
Description: HSALNT0393596
Source: RNAcentral